AUGGAGGUCCAGAUGAGACGGGGCGGCGCGACGUGCCUGGUCCAGGUGGCGGCGGCGGUCUCCUACGUGGUGCUGAUGGCGUCGGCGGGGGUGCGCGCGCAGCUGCGGGUGGGGUUCUACGACAGCUCGUGCCCGGCCGCGGAGAUCAUCGUGCAGCAGGAGGUGAGCAAGGCGGUGUCCGCCAACCCGGGCCUCGCCGCGGGCCUCCUCCGCCUCCACUUCCACGACUGCUUCGUCGGCGGCUGCGAGGCGUCGGUGCUGGUCGACUCCACAAAGGGCAACACGGCGGAGAAGGACGCCGGGCCCAACACGAGCCUGCGCGGGUUCGAGGUCAUCGACCGGAUCAAGGCCCGGGUGGAGCAGGCGUGCUUCGGCGUCGUCUCCUGCGCCGACAUCCUCGCCUUCGCUGCCAGGGACAGCGUCGCGCUGACUGGCGGGAACGCGUACCAGGUGCCGGCGGGGCGGAGGGACGGGGGCGUGUCGCGGGCGCAGGACACGGGCGGUAACCUGCCGCCCCCGACCCCCAACGUGAACCAGCUCACCAAGAUCUUCGCCUCCAAGGGGCUCAACCAGAAGGACCUGGUGACCCUGUCCGGCGCGCACACCAUCGGCGGCUCGCACUGCAGCUCCUUCAGCAGCCGCCUGCAGACGCCGUCGCCGACAGCGCAGGACCCGACCAUGGACCCCGGCUACGUGGCGCAGCUGGCGCAGCAGUGCGGCGCGUCCGCCUCGCCGGGGCCGCUGGUGCCCAUGGACGCCGUCACCCCCAACUCCUUCGACGAAGGGUUCUACAAAGGCAUCAUGUCCAACCGGGGCCUGCUCGCCUCCGACCAGGCGCUGCUCAGCGACGGGAACACCGCCGUGCAGGUGGUCUCCUACGCCAACGACCCGGCCACCUUCCAGAGCGACUUCGCCGCUGCCAUGGUCAAGAUGGGCUACAUCGGCGCGCUCACCGGCAGCAGCGGCAAGAUCAGGGCCAACUGUAGAGUCGUAUGA
RNAcentral lists this ribosomal RNA (996 nucleotides) under Triticum aestivum (bread wheat). Its description in RNAcentral is "partial small subunit ribosomal RNA". The record is from RNAcentral. Lineage: Eukaryota; Viridiplantae; Streptophyta; Magnoliopsida; Poales; Poaceae.